AGCUCCAAUAGCGUAUAUUAAAGUUGUUGCAGUUAAAAAGCUCGUAGUUGGAUUUGUGGCUGUCUCCGGCGGCCCGUCACUUAGUGUCGGUGUUUGCUGGAGUCGCCAUCCUUGGGUGGAGCCCGUGUGGCAUUAGGUUGUCGUGCGGGGGAUGCCCAUCGUUUACUGUGAGAAAAUUAGAGUGUUCAAAGCAGGCUUAUGCCGUUGAAUAUGUUAGCAUGGAAUAAUAAGAUAGGACCUCGGUACUAUUUUGUUGGUUUGCGCACCGAGGUAAUGAUUAAUAGGGACAGUUGGGGGUAUUCGUAUUUCAUUGUCAGAGGUGAAAUUCUUGGAUUUCUGAAAGACGAACUACUGCGAAAGCAUUUACCAAGGAUGUUUUCAUUAAUCAAGAACGAAAGUA
Molecule: ribosomal RNA, 400 nt
Filed under: phytoplankton environmental sample
Lineage: Eukaryota
Description: partial small subunit ribosomal RNA
Rfam family: Eukaryotic small subunit ribosomal RNA
Source: RNAcentral